AAAGCACUUUGAAGAGAGAGUUAAAGAGGACGUGAAACCGGUGAGGUGGAAACGGAUAGAGUCGGCGUAUCUUGCAAGUAUUCAUUUACAUUUUUAUCGUAUUGUAAUCUCUGAGCUCCAGAUUGGGACAGUUUUUACUUUAUUAUAAAAUUGAGAUGCAUUUGCUUGUUUGGUGCGUAGGGAUGUUUGAGAUAGAUUUGUGACCGCCGUUUUGAGGCCAGCUUGCUGGUACCCAAACUGUGUUAGCAUUUUUUAUCUUGGAUAUUUGAGUAUGGCUUACGGGCGUUUAUUGGUUCGAUCUGAGUGUAAGUUACGGUCGCAUGCGACACGUGCUUUUCAAUUAGUUCGGUCCAGUUAAUGCUCUCAUACUCUUUCCCUAUGUAAAAGCCGGUCAUCUAUCCGACCCGUCUUGAAACACGGACCAAGGAGUUUAUCGUGUGCGCAAGUUUUUGGGUGUUUUAAACCUAAAAGCGCAAUGAAAGUAAAUGUUCUCUUUCGAGACUGAUGUGCGAUAUUUUUUUUUCGAAAAAAUUGCAGCAUGGCCCCAUUCUAUCUGUUUACAGAAGGGUGGCGGAAGAGCGUACGCGGUGAGACCCGAAAGAUGGUGAACUAUUCCUGAGCAGGAUGAAGCCAGAGGAAACUCUGGUGGAAGUCCGAAGCGGUUCUGACGUGCAAAUCGAUCGUCUGACU
Molecule: ribosomal RNA, 690 nt
Filed under: Meloidogyne marylandi
Lineage: Eukaryota; Metazoa; Nematoda; Chromadorea; Rhabditida; Meloidogynidae
Description: partial large subunit ribosomal RNA
Rfam family: Eukaryotic large subunit ribosomal RNA
Source: RNAcentral